Molecule: long non-coding RNA, 1677 nt
Filed under: Acanthaster planci (crown-of-thorns starfish)
Lineage: Eukaryota; Metazoa; Echinodermata; Asteroidea; Valvatida; Acanthasteridae
Description: uncharacterized LOC110974869, transcript variant X1
Source: RNAcentral
CACCGUUGCUAGUGUGGACUGUAGAAAGCGUGGGAUCCUUCUUGACGUGAUAGUCCAAUAUUGAUAAAGGCCUCUUCGAUUCGUUUAAAAACAAGAAGGCUUUUUGUACGGUGGCACACGUGCACGUGGAGGUAAAAAUAGUAGUUACUAAGCAUACUGAGCGCUGGUGGUCGCAUUAAUCCAUUUAUUUUCACGACUUUGCCAUGUGUAUCAAGACGACAACACUGACGUACUGUCUGACUGUCAUGACUGUAGGCCCUACGUGUAAGAAAUUAGUCCCUGAGGAAUGACUGACAAGCACACCUAGUACCUACGUGAGUUCGUGAUAUGGAGGCAUGCAGGAAGGACGUAUGGAGUAGGUCUGCCUAGUAAUCUAACGCACCCUACCGGUAUAUGCCUGCAUUGCAUUGGCACACUUUGAUGUUGGACCCCACACCUGCAUACACACCUGGCAACUGGCAGUCAGUUAAGAGAUGACUGGACGACAGAGACAUAUCAAGCCCUUACUGUCAUAAUAUCUGCUCUUGGAACAUUGAUGAAGGUCCAAGCAAGGCGGUCAGAUUGUGGAAUCAACGAGGGCCAGCAGUCUGCAACCUCUAGAAGAAGUUUUAAAAAAGGAUGAAAACUGCAUGUAUCACUUUGCAAAUAGUGAUCUUGGCCCUAACCCCGCCAGAUGCGGCAUACUGCAGCAGAAGUAAAAGUCUGAUGCACCAUAGCCGUGUUCCCAUUGGACUUUUUUCCGCAGGCACAGGAAAACCUACUGCGACAUUCCUUCAUGUCAAUCUACCGCGCAUUCCCACGUGGACUUUUUUCCAACCGUAACGGAAUGUUUAUUCGCUGCGUCAGGCUGCUCUACUGCUGUACUGCACGCAUGGAGCUGGAGGCUGGCGACAACUGUUUUCUCUGUGUAGGCAGGAGUCUGGUUUGUAUGUUUAACGUGGUUGCAGUCAAUCUGCAUUGUAUGGGAACUGCUCCCAUUGGACUUUUUGCGCCCCUGCUAACUUACCCUGGCUGUGGCUUUUUGGCCUGUUAGUUUUACAUUGCGAUCGCGGUAAGUUGACAGGGACGUUAGUUUACCAUGUGUUCCCAUUGGAUUUAAUUUUGUAAUUCUACAGGAUCGUCGCAGUAAGUUAACCAGAAAAUGUCCAAUGGGUGCACUCCUUUUGAUGCACUGGGCAAUCCAAAGCAGCCAAACAAACUGGUCAUGUUGAGAGAGCUGGUCUCAUUGAACAAGGACACAGUUGGAUCUUGUGGUGACUGGCAACCACAGACUCCCAGGCUGUUUGGCCUCGGGAAGAGUUGACCUGUAGGAUCUUGUUACAUACAUGCAGGGCCAACAAAUUACUUUGACAAAUGAUGCAGACUGAUGUGUCUGGCCGGGUUUCUAGCCAAACAACCCUGAACAGUUAGGGUUACAUAUUGUGCUUGUUUUAUUUAUGAGACUGGUUUUGGAAUCAUUCAGACUAAUUGACAGAAAUGAGGCCUUUCUAUUUCUCCAGUCCAGUCAACUUUUUUUUUAUUGUUGAGGGCACUUGUUGGCAAGUGGAUAGGAGCAGAGAUGGUAGUGAGAGUGGAAGAAACCUGUGCUGUCCAUCCAGGAGGAGUCUGUCUUCUGCCGUGACUCAAUCCUGGCAGGAGGAAUUUCUGUUGUGUUUGCUGCAUCAGAGGCUCUGCUAU